UUCCGUACGAUCACCGAAGUUAAGCAACGUCGAGUCUACUCUGUACUUAGAUGGGUGAUCUCUUGGGAAUACCAGGUGCUGUAA
Molecule: non-coding RNA, 84 nt
Organism: Acanthosepion pharaonis
Lineage: Eukaryota; Metazoa; Mollusca; Cephalopoda; Sepiida; Sepiidae
Source: the annotation of a GenBank genome assembly